This 338-nucleotide unclassified non-coding RNA is filed under the name soil metagenome. RNAcentral describes it as "partial contains 5.8S ribosomal RNA, internal transcribed spacer 2, and large subunit ribosomal RNA". The stretch from base 1 to 119 matches the Rfam family "5.8S ribosomal RNA", at positions 35 to 154 of the family's 154-position model. The record is from RNAcentral.
GAUGAAGAACGCAGCGAAAUGCGGUACGUAGUGUGAAUUGCAGAAUUCAGUGAAUCAUCGAAUCUUGAACGCACAUUGCACCUCUCGGUAUUCCGGGAGGUAUGCCUGUUCGAGCGUCAUUUGUACCCUCAAGCUCUGCUUGGUGUUGGGUGUUUGUUCCGCCUCUGUGUGUGAACUCGCCUCAAAACAAUUGGCAGCCGGCGUACUUGUUUCGGAGCGCAGCACAUUUUGCGAUCCAGAUCAACGUACAGCGGCAUCCAAGAAGCCUUAUUUAACGCUCUUGACCUCGGAUCAGGUAGGGAUACCCGCUGAACUUAAGCAUAUCAAUAAGCGGAGGA